ACAAAGGUUUAUUCUAAAAGAAAAGAGAAUAAAAGCUAAUCAAUUCUAAUCCCUAUAAAUAUGGUAUAUAAUCUCCUAUAAAUCUACUAUACAAAUAUUACAUUCUUUAAAUGUUAGUUAAAAGAAAACACGCAAGGCCAAAUCUAAAAAAAUUUAGGAGCUGGAAUUGAAUUAUAAAAUUUUAAAAGGUUAAAAAUAUAAUAUUAUCAAAUAUCAAUUUAUGGUUACAUCAUUUUUGAAGGGAUUGAAUAAAAAAAAUUUCAUCUUUGGCAGCCAAAGUGCAAGUUUACGGCCAUAUAUUUACUUAUAACCCCAUCA
Molecule: long non-coding RNA, 318 nt
Filed under: Gossypium barbadense (sea-island cotton)
Lineage: Eukaryota; Viridiplantae; Streptophyta; Magnoliopsida; Malvales; Malvaceae
Description: long non-coding RNA (GBAR_LNC016270)
Source: RNAcentral